Balaenoptera musculus (blue whale) is the source of this 579-nucleotide long non-coding RNA. RefSeq lists it as uncharacterized. NCBI's taxonomy places the organism in Eukaryota, Metazoa, Chordata, Mammalia, Artiodactyla, Balaenopteridae. The record is from RefSeq and is a predicted model, not a curated record. The transcript has 5 exons.
UAAAAAAUGAAUGCAGUGAGGAAAACGAGCAGACAGAUGGAAAAAAAUGACAGGCUUUACCCUGUACUGAGUAAGGAGGUCAUUCCUAACCGCCCCACCCACCACUCUGCUUUAUCUUUCACCUGAAGGGAACCAUGAAGAAAAAGGACUGAGAAGAAAACAGAGAAAGGUUUUGACCCUGGGCCACUGGCUGUGACUUGUGAACAACCUUCAUCUCCAAAAAGUCACUUCUCGUCCUCCUGAUCAGCCUUGGGUGAACACACACUACCAACAAUAUGCUACCUUAGGCCACUUCCUUCCUCCAGAGUUUUCAAGGCAACAGAACCAUGGGCUCAACCCACCCAUCCAACCCACCUAACUUCACUGUGGAUGAAAGAAUAAGCAGUCCCUGGCUGUGGCUGAAAAUGGAGUCACCUCUCGGACCCCGGGGACCCCAGGAAGCAGGCGGAUUUCUGGAAUCCACUCCCGCUAUCAGCUCCCCAUGAGCUCAGGCCUGUGACUGACAGGGACAGACACAGAAACGGACACAUGAGGAGGACUUGUGCCUGAGGAUUCCAAACUGUCCUGCUGGCAAAAGAC